UACGGGGGGGGCAAGCGUUGUUCGGAAUUACUGGGCGUAAAGGGCGCGUAGGCGGCCUUCUAAGUCGGACGUGAAAUCCCCGGGCUCAACCCGGGAACUGCGUCCGAUACUGGAAGGCUUGAAUCCGGGAGAGGGAUGCGGAAUUCCAGGUGUAGCGGUGAAAUGCGUAGAUAUCGGGAAGAACACCGAUGGCGAAGGCAGCUCUCUGGGACGGUACUGACGCUGAGACGCGAAAGCGUGGGGAGCGAACAGG
This 253-nucleotide ribosomal RNA is filed under the name uncultured bacterium. RNAcentral describes it as "partial 16S ribosomal RNA". It matches the Rfam family "Bacterial small subunit ribosomal RNA", at positions 524 to 776 of the family's 1533-position model. The record is from RNAcentral.